UAGAUAAUAUUCCGCAAUGGGCGAAAGCCUGACGGAGCGACGCCGCGUGCAGGAAGAAGGCCUUCGGGUUGUAAACUGCUUUUGCGUGGGAAGAAGGCCGCAAGGCCAUUGACGGUACCACGAGAAUAAGGGGUUGCUAACUCUGUGCCAGCAGCAGCGGUAAUACAGAGACCCCGAGCGUUAUCCGGAAUUACUGGGCGUAAAGCGCAAGUAGUCGGUUUUUAUAGUCUGAUGUUAAAUCCCAUGGCUCAACUGUGGGACCGCAUCGGAAACGUAAAGACUAGAGCGAAUCAGAGGCAAGCGGAACGUGUGGUGUAGCGGUGAAAUGCAUUGAUAUCACACGGAACACCAAAAGCGAAGGCAGCUUGCUGGGGUUUUGCUGACGAUCAGUUGCGAAAGC
Molecule: ribosomal RNA, 400 nt
Filed under: uncultured bacterium
Lineage: Bacteria
Description: bacterial SSU rRNA
Rfam family: Bacterial small subunit ribosomal RNA
Source: RNAcentral